AGUGGGAUAGCUGGGUCAAAUGGUGGUUCCAUUCCAAGUUUUCUGAGGAAUCUCCAUACUGCUUUCCAGAUUGUUAACACCAAUUUUCAGUCCCACCAGCAAU
This 103-nucleotide microRNA precursor is filed under the name Marmota monax (woodchuck). The record is from RNAcentral. Lineage: Eukaryota; Metazoa; Chordata; Mammalia; Rodentia; Sciuridae.